CAGCCGCCGCGGUAAAACCAGCACCUCGAGUGGUCAGGAGGUUUAUUGGGCCUAAAGCAUCCGUAGCCGGUUGCAUAAGUUUUCGGUUAAAUCUAUGCGCUCAACGUAUAGGCCGCCGAAAAUACUGUGCAGCUAGGGAGUGGGAGAGGUACACGGUACUCAAUAGGAAGGGGUAAAAUCCUUUGAUCUAUUGAUGACCACCUGUGGCGAAGGCGGUGUACCAGAACACGUUCGACGGUGAGGGAUGAAAGCUGGGGGAGCAAACCGGAUUAGAUACCCGGGUAGUCCCAGCUGUAAACGAUGCAGACUCGGUGAUGCAUUGGCCUGUGGCCAAUGCAGUGCCGCAGGGAAGCCGUUAAGUCUGCCGCCUGGGAAGUACGUACGCAAGUAUGAAACUUAAAGGAAUUGGCGGGGGAGCAC
This 420-nucleotide ribosomal RNA is filed under the name uncultured Nitrososphaerota archaeon. RNAcentral's name for it is "bacterial SSU rRNA". It matches the Rfam family "Archaeal small subunit ribosomal RNA", at positions 459 to 879 of the family's 1478-position model. The record is from RNAcentral. Lineage: Archaea; Thermoproteati; Nitrososphaerota.